This 497-nucleotide ribosomal RNA is filed under the name uncultured bacterium. RNAcentral's name for it is "partial 16S ribosomal RNA". It matches the Rfam family "Bacterial small subunit ribosomal RNA", at positions 28 to 507 of the family's 1533-position model. The record is from RNAcentral.
GACGAACGCUGGCGGCGUGCCUAAUACAUGCAAGUCGAGCGAACGGACGAGAAGCUUGCUUCUCUGAUGUUAGCGGCGGACGGGUGAGUAACACGUGGAUAACCUACCUAUAAGACUGGGAUAACUUCGGGAAACCGUAGCUAAUACCGGAUAAUAUUUUGAACCGCAUGGUUCAAAAGUGAAAGACGGUCUUGCUGUCACUUAUAGAUGGAUCCGCGCUGCAUUAGCUAGUUGGUAAGGUAACGGCUUACCAAGGCAACGAUGCAUAGCCGACCUGAGAGGGUGAUCGGCCACCCUGGAACUGAGACACGGUCCAGACUCCUACGGGAGGCAGCAGUAGGGAAUCUUCCGCAAUGGGCGAAAGCCUGACGGAGCAACGCCGCGUGAGUGAUGAAGGUCUUCGGAUCGUAAAACUCUGUUAUUAGGGAAGAACAUAUGUGUAAGUAACUGUGCACAUCUUGACGGUACCUAAUCAGAAAGCCACGGCUAACUACGUG